CAGGAGUGGUGGCAUGCACCCCUGUAGUCCCAGCUGAGAGGUGGGAAGAUCCCUUGAGCCUAGAAGGUUGAGCUACGGUGAGCCAUGUUGCUGCCACUGCACAUCAGCCUGGGUGACAGAGCAAGACCCAGUCUCAAAUAAUAAAAUAAAAUAAAGUGUUAACUUGUCCAAGAUCCUGUUUCACAGCAGUCAUUGAUGAGACAAAUGAAACAUUUUGGGACACCUUAAAAAAAUCCCAUCAGUGUGGCAGAGCUAGUUUUAUUAUCCCACUUCCUAAAAAGCCAUGAGACCUCAUCAGCCAUGGAAGAAUCUAUGUAAAGCUGAAGGAAUUUGGCCCUUUAAUGAUGCACAAAGACGUAUGCAUGGAUUUUGCAAGUUCCUACUUUCACCUUUAUAAAUGCUGGGUUUCAUCCAUGUUUUAAUUGACUGGAGUUUUAAACAAAAUAAAUACAGAUACCAUAGUGUGUAAUUUUAGAGAUUUUUUUAAGUACAAAAAUGUAUUUGGGCCCCAAAAUGUAUUUGGACUAUGUGCUGCAAUUGAUCUUUCACCAUAUGAGAAAUCCAGGCCCCAGCUGAUUUUUUGGAGUUAAGAAUGAUUUUUUACAUUUUUAAAGGGUUGCAGAAAAGGAAGAAGAAUCAGCAGAGAGCAUUUGUGGCCAGCAAAGCUUAAAAUAUUUCCUAACCGAUCCUUUGCAAAAAAAGUUCACCCACUCCUGUAGUCAGCAGCUCCCCUACUGUGCGCAGUCAGUGUGCCAUCUCAGACUAGCAAAGUUGUCCAGAGAGGAAAGACAGGCCAAAAUAGUUCAGUAUGCUGUCUUACUGGGAGGACAACAGCUUAAGCCACAAAGCCCUGAGUUUGACCCUAGAACUCUGUGGCUACUGGUGACUCAUCUUGAAAAUUAUCAGAUUGAAUCUUCUCUACCGGUUUGAUAACAACUGAUGAGUGGAAAAAGAACGCCAAUCAAAUGUGCAUGCUUAAUAAGCAGCCUCCUUAUUCCCCUCUGCAGAUUUGUGCUUGGAUCAUCUACACUUCCCUGAAUGUUGAAGAAGAUAUGCUAUCCAUGCAAUCCUUGUCGACUGCUUGAUUAAAAAGUGGAUAAACUGUCUUCAGGCCCUUGGAGUAUGGUGUCUGUGUGAAGAAGGGAAUGAGGCAGAAGUAGCAGUCAGUGGUGGCUGAAGUAGGAGAAAGUGCUUGCUAAUGAAAUCUUGAUUUUUCUGUGGCUUUUCUGUGCAAUUGGGUGGCUAAGUAGGAAAGCCAUUGGAGCUUCACUGUAUCAAUUCUGCCUUUCUUGUUUUUUGGAACUCCAAUUCACCAAGGCUCCCUGCCACCCUAUCCAUCUAUAACUUUUCAUCACUUUUUCCUCAAAGUAAGAAGUGUGUCCCAGAAAAUGUGCCUUUGUGACUCAGCAACAUUUCAAAUCCAUCUGAGCCUUCCCAGCGUUCCAAAAGAAAUACUGAUUUGAAUUCAGCUGCUUAAAAAACCAGUCUCUAAGCAGACAGCUUGAAACUUCCUUACAGCAAUAGUUUAGGCUUUGGAGGGGAAAUUGGUUUGUUUUUAAUUGUUUUAAUUUUUCAUUCAAUUCAUUUGCCGCCUGAUUAUAUAUGAUCUUUUGAGCCCAAUACUCUGCUAAAUUAACCUUGACUUUCUUUCUCUCUUUCUCUCUCUCUCCUUCUCUCUUUCUUCCUUUCUUUCUUUCUUUUUGACAGAGCCUUGCUCUGUCGCCCAGGCUGGAAUGCAGUGGCACAAUCUCAGCUCACUGUAAACUCCGCCUCCAAAGUUCAAGCAAUUCUCCUGCCUCAGCCUCCUGUGUAGCUGGGAUUACACACGCCAGCCACCAUGCCUGGCUAAUUUUUGUAUUUUUAGUAAAGAUGGAGUUUCACCCUCUUGGCCAAGCUGGUCUCGAACUCCUGACCUCAACCUUGGCCUCUCAAAGUGCUGGGAUUACAAGCAUGAGCCACCAUGCCUGGCCUUACCUUGAUUUUUUUUUUUUGAGACAGAGUCUCACUCUGUUGCUCAGGCUGGAGUGUAGUGGCUCGAUCUUGGCUCACUGCAACCUCCAUCUCCCGGGUUCAAGAGAUUCUCCUGCCUCAGCCUCCCAAGUAGCUGGGACUACAGGUGUGGGCCACCACGCCUAGCUAAUUUUUUAUAUGUUUACUAGAGACAGGGUUUCACCAUGUUGGGCAGGCUGGUCUUGAACUCCUGACCUCAGGUGAUUCACCUGCCUCGGCCUCCCAAAAUGCUGGGAUUACAGGUGUGAGCCACCACACCCGGCCCCUACCUUUGAUUUUUAAGUCAAGAGGGAACAAGUCGAAAUUUCUAUUCAGGUAAACUGUAUACCUUUGGACACUGAAUCACUUUUAGAACCCCAGUAAAAAUCAUGUAUGAAUGACCCACAAUUUCACUCCAACAGGAAGGUGUGUAUAUGUGCACAAAAACAUUAGAUUGUUCACACCGGUGCUAUUCAUAAUAGUCAAAAACUGGAAACAACUCAAACAUCCAUCAACUGUAGAAUGGAUAAAUAAAUCAUGAUAUAUUCAUACCAUGGAACAUAACAGUGACAAUAAAUGAACCACUGCUACACACAACAGAUAUGAAUUUCACAAACAGAAUGCUGAGCAACAGAAGCCAAACACAGAAGGAUACACAUUUAUAAAUCCAUUUGUAUGAAGUUCAUAAACAGACAAAAUUAGUCAGUGGAGAUUAUUCUCAUAGAAGUCUGAAGGGUAGUUGUCUUUAGGGAGGGGGAUAUAGUGACUGAGGUGGGUAUAAGGGGUUUCUGGGGUUUGGUGAUGGUACACCAGCAUAUUCACUCUGAAAACUCAUUGAGCUGUGCAAUAAUGAUUUUUCAAACUUUUAUAUGUGUAUGAUAAUGCUUCAAUAAAGCUUUGCUUAAAAACACGCAUAGUCAUUGCUAUGGUGUGAAUGUUUGUGUGCCCCCGUUCACCAAAUUCAUAGGUUGAAAUCCUAACCCCCAAGGUGAUGAUAUUAGGAGU
Molecule: long non-coding RNA, 2994 nt
Filed under: Homo sapiens (human)
Lineage: Eukaryota; Metazoa; Chordata; Mammalia; Primates; Hominidae
Description: HSALNT0050363
Source: RNAcentral